GCCAGGCGAGGUGGUGCGUGCCUGUAAUCCCAGCCCUCGGGAGGCCGAGGCAGGAGGAUCACUAGUUCAAAGCCAGCCUUAGUGAGGCCCUAGGCAGCUUAGAUUCUGUCUCAA
RNAcentral lists this small RNA (114 nucleotides) under Marmota monax (woodchuck). Lineage: Eukaryota; Metazoa; Chordata; Mammalia; Rodentia; Sciuridae. The record is from RNAcentral.